CUCUCUCUCUCUUGCUUGCUGCCAUGCAAGAUGUGACUUUGCUCUUCAUUCACCUUCUGCCAUGAUUGUGAGGGCUCCCCAGCCAUGUAGAACUAAAUUGUGGAGCCACCAUCUCUAAACAUCCUGCCUAACAGGACUUCUAGAAGUUCGCCAAAGGUCUCCUCAACCCCAGUUCAGUGAUAUAAUUUUGGUUUCUGAAGAGUGUUGACAUUUAUGGAUCGUCUGGUUGGAGAACUAAAGAAAUUUCUGGCAAGUGGAUACCACAUUGACAAGGUGCUCAUCAGCUGGUACAAUGGACCUUUAUCUCAGAGUUUAAAUUUAUUUGCAAGUGAUCUGAAAAGUCCAAGGCAGGGUCUCACUCUGUCACCCAGGCUGGAGUACAGUGGCAUGAUUAUAGCUCACUGCAACCUCAGACUCCUGGAUUCAAGUGGUCUUCCUGCGUCAGACUCCUGAGCAGCUAGGACUACAGGUUAAGAUGCAAGACUGGCUAGAAGGAUAAGCAGUGGGAACAACGGCACAGGAGAUGUCCUUAUGGGUCCCCAACACUUUCUCUUUUGCCCUUUGGCAGGUGCUAGUGACAGACAUGGGGCUUCACCAUGUUGCCCAGGGCUGUUCUCGACCUCCUGGAUUCAAGCAAUCCUUCCACCUCGGCCUCCCAAAGUGCUGGGAUUACAGGCAUGAGCCACCUCGCCACUGGCUGGACUCCUCCGAUUGACUUCUAUUCACCAGAAUGUUGAUGGCUCUGGUUCUCACCCUGUUGUUGUUUGCAUGGGAAUAUUCCCUAGAAAAGAGAUAAGGCCUCUCUCCUGCCUUUCUUCCACCCAGAUUAAGACUGUGAGAUGAAGACAGAAACAGCAUCCGCUGAGGCACCUUCUCUUGUGAGUUCUCUGCUGCCAACAGACCUGGGGUGGGCACAGCGCGGGAGGCAGGUGAUAAGGGGAAGUGAAAGCAUCAUUACAGCCGAGAGGCCUUAAAAUGGUACAGAAGCCUGGCCUGACGCUGUGAGUCCAAACCUCUGGCUUUACAGGGUUUCUCUGAAAUCUGGUCUGAGAGUUUAACUUCUUCCUUUCUGGUUGGACCCUUGAAGGUAGCAUGAUAUAAGUAGCACACCAAAGUGUCAAGAUUGGGAUGAAAGCACAUCUUCCUUAGAAUAACUUUCUUAAGCACUAUUUUAGGUCUCUGUGUCUUAAACCAUGGGCUUCUUAGACUUUUGGACGCUAUAUGUAAGUUGUGACUCUUGAGGUUAUAUUUGUUUCCUGGGGCUGCCAUGACAAAGCACCACAAAGCCAGUGGCUUAAAGAACAGGGAUCCUCUCCAAGCUCCAGAGGCCAGAAACCAGACAUCAGCUACACUCCCUCUGAACCUCGUAGAGAGAAUCUUCCCUUGCCUCUUCUUAGCUGUUGGUGUCAGCCGACAAUCCUUGGGUGUUCCUUGGCUUGUAGACACAUCACUCCAAUCUGCCUCCAUCAUCACAGAGCUGUUUCCCUGUGUCUGAUAUGAACACCAGGCCCAUUUCCCUGGGUCUCUUAUACAGAUACCAGUCAUGUUGGAUUUGGGGCCCACCCUACUCCAGUAUGACUUUAUCCCAAUUUACCUAAUUAUUUUGUGUUUCGUUUUGUUUGUUUGUUUUGAGACAAGGUCUUGCUCUGUUGCCCAGGAUGGAGUGCAGUGGCGUGAUCACAGCUCACUGCAGCCUCAACCUCACAGGCUCAAGUGAUCCUCCUGACUCAGCCUCCAAAGUAGCUGAGAUUACAGGCGCAUGCCAUGAUGCCCAGCUAAUUUUUGUACUACUUUUUGGUAGAGAUGAGGUCUCCCUAUGUUGCCCAGGCCGAUCUCGAACUCCUGGGCUCAAGUGACCCACCCACCUUGGCUUCCCAAAGUGCCAGGCUUAAAGGCGUGAGCUACCCUGCCCAGCCUACUUUACCUAGUUACAUCUGUAAUGACACUGUUUCAAAAUAAGUUCACAUUCUGAGGUACUGGGGAUUAAGACUUCAGCAUAUUUUUGGGGGGAACAAUUUAACACGUAACAAGAAAGAAUACAGAAUCCAAGAUUUCCUAGACAUAUGUGUCCAGAGGACUUUUUUUUUAAGUUGAGGGUCUCCCUCUGUUGCCCCAGCUGGAGUGCAGUGGCCCCAUCACGGCUCACUGCAGCCUCAACUUCCUGGGCUCAAGCAAUCCUCCCACCUCAGCCUCCAAAGUAGCUGCAACUACAGACACACACCUCUACGCCUGGCUAAUUUUUUAUUUUUUUUUAUUUUUUGGAGAAAUGGAGUCUGGCUAUGUUGCCCAGGCUAGUCUCAAACUCCUGGGCUCCUCCUGCCUCAGCCUCCUAAAGCGCUGGGAUUACAGGCAUGAGCCAUGGCACCAGGCCCAGAGAUCGAAGAUCAAAGAGAAUGGUGUGGAACUACAGACCUGUGGAAGCUAUUGGUAGAAGGAUGCCCUUGGCUCUCCGAAAUGCUUGCUCAUAGACUUCUCCAGCUCACCUUAAAUAUUACUGUCAACAUCACUGUCUUGUCGUUCAGGCUGUGACACCUUUAUUCUUCCAUUUCAAUUUCCUAGAGGGCCAUGGAGCUUGCCACCCACGAGAGGAACUCCUCCCUUUUGAGUGAGGUUGCACAAUUGGCCUGUUCCUUCCAAGCUCAUGAACUUGCUCUCUCAAACGGAAACUGGGACCCUCUCUAAGUGUGUGCCUGCCAGCUUGUGGUGGAGUCUGUUUUUUUUUUGUUUUUUUAAACAAGAGAGAAUAUUUUGCUUCUGCCAAGAUUGACAUGGCUUCAAAAGUGCAAACCAUCUCACUGCAGCUGCUCUGCACCCUCCUGGACCCUCUAGUUAUGCUCUGGUCUUUCCUCUGGUCUUUUUGAGACUGGCCUAUGCACUGUUUCACCUGUUCUGUCCCUACUACUUCUUGAGGUGUCUUUGACUCCGCUGACUACUGUAGGACACCACACUCCCUUUGUCCUUGCAGCCUACUCUUUUGUUGUUGUUGUUGUUGUUGAGAUGGAGUCUCGCUCUGUCGCCAGACUGGAGUGCAGUGGUGCAAUCUCUGCUCACUGCAACCUCUGCUUCCUGGGUUCAAGCAAUUCCCCUUCCUUAGCCUCCCGAGUAGCUAGGACUAUAGGCGCGUGCCACUACGCCCAGCUAAUUUUUGAAUUUUCAGUAGAGACGGGGUUUCACCAUGUUGGCCAGGAUGGUCUUGAUCUCUUGACCUCGUGAUCCGCCUGCCUCGGCCUCCCAAAGUGCUGGGAUUACAGGCGUGAGCCACUGCACCCGGCCACAGCCUACUCUUAGUUCCUUCUUAAGUCAUCUUUUCCUGGCCUUGGUUACAUAAUGCAACUUGUACACGCCAGUGUGCCUUCCCAAUCAAGACCAGUGUCUUUCAACCUUUUGUUACUAAGAUCUACAAUAAGAAGUUUGCUUUUAUUUUAUUAUUAUUAUUUUUUUGAGAUGGAGUCUCCCUCUGUUGCCCAGGCUGGAGUGCAGUGGUUGAUCUUGGCUCACUGCAACCUCCAUCUCCCAGGUUCAAGGGAUUCUUCUGCCUCAGCCUCCCGAGUAGCUGGGACUAUAGGCACACCACCAAGCCUGGCUAAUUUUUGUACUUUUAGUAGAGAUGAGGUUUCUCCAUGUUGGCCAGGCUGGACUUGAACUCCUGACCUCAGAUGAUCCACUCGCCUCAGCCUCCCAGAGUGCUGGGAUUACAGGCAUGAGCCACUGUGCCCCACCAAGAAGUUUGCUUUUAAUCCUGAAGCAAUGCACAUAGCCAAGAACAUUUUUCACUACAGUAAGAAUCAUGAAAUAGCUUUUACUGUUACAGAAUGCCAUGCACUCAAUUUUCUUUUAUAGUCUAGUCCAGCCUAUGCUAUUUCAUUAAUAAAUGUUUAAGGUCAUAAACCAUUGUAUUUUAUUUCACUACCCAUGACUGGGCUGCAACUUGCCUUUUGAGAAACAGUGUAGAUGUAGGCAGGAAUUUCUUGAAUAAUCUUCCUGCCUCUACUCUUCUCUCUAAUUUAUUUGUCCCAGUAGCAAGAGUGAUCUUUUGCAAACCUAAAUUAGAUCAGGUCUCUCCAGUACUUAAACCCUUCAGAGUCUUUCAUUCACUUAGCAUAAAACCCAAACUCUUUAUCAUAGCCCACAAGCUCCUAUCUAGAAAGGCCCUUUUCCAACUUCAUUUUCUACUGCACUCAACCUGAACCACCCCACUCCAGCCUCAGCGGCCUUCUCUGUUCUGCCAAUGCCUGCUAAUCUUGACCAUUGACUCUGAUGCUUUUUGUCAUUCAGUUCUCAGUCCCAAAGUUGUCUCCUCAGAAAGGCCUUUCCUGAUCACCCUAGCUAUGUCAUAUCACUGUUUAUCAAUUUACCCCUUUUCUGUUCCUCUUAGUACUUACUAGCUCCUGAAAGUAUUUACUGGUUUGCUUGCUUGUUUGCUUUCCAGCUGUCCCACUAGGAUAUAACCUCCGCCGGAGGGGACUGUCCUAGACUCUGAGGGGAAGAUUAUCAACUGCACAGGACUUUAUCAGGGAGAAUUCUUGGGGUCAACACUGCAGGAGGCAGACGAAGAAGCAGGACUGGGCAGAGGGAGACAUUGGGCUGUGAUGUCAUCACCACAGAUGCCACAGCUCAGCCUACAGGGAGUUCUGAAGAUAGGAUCACCCUUCAGAACUGUCUAGAUUUGGCUAGAGAGCCAGACCUUUGGAUCCCUUGGUGACCAAUAAUUGGAUGUAGAAAGAGGGAGUGAUGCUGAACAAGACCCAGUGUGUCUUCAAAUAGGUAAGACCUAGCAGGGAUGACAGCUGGACUAGUGAGUGGUGGCUGCACUCCCUGGCUGGAGAUGGAGACCCCAUCACACCAUCAGCCAUGAGUUCCAAACCAGCCUUUUCACAACCAUCACCCCAGCAAGGCGGACAGUACCAGUGCUCAGUAGUUGCCUCUGUUUUGGUGGCUAUUGUUCUCCUGAAACUGCCUUUGCAAAGAUUAUGACAGCGAGAUAAUCUAGCCUGGCUGUGUCCACCUUACUUCUAGCCUCACAGGCUGGCUGUCCUCAUUCAUUCCUGGGUGUGGGCCAAGCUAACCUUGGGAAGCAUUUAAUUUAUAGUUUAACUUUGAAGCAAGGAUGAUAAUAGUCCCUCCCUAAAACUGACACCUUCCUUCUUCAGGGGCUUAAACCCUGACUAAUGAAAGGCCACAAGAUUAGGAUUAUGAGAGGGGCCUGCAUUCUGCUAAAAUGUAGGCAUAGUUUCUAUAAUUUCUUACUGCUCAGGAGUCAUAUGGCCAGAGGUCACAGAAUUUGUGACUUCCUCAAUUGCUCUUAGAGAUAAUAUCACUAUUGUAGAAUCUAAGAUUGGUCUUUUGAGAUGUUUUUAAAAUUUUUGCAUUCUGGCAACUCACCAACCCCAUCCAGACCCAUGACUCAUGUCUCAGCCAGUCCUGUGGCCCCACCAAGAGGCAGACUCAGCAUGCGAGGACCAUUUCCCACACCCAUAUGAUUUUACCCCCAGCUAAUCAGCAGCACCCAUUUCCUAGCCCCCUGCCUGCCUGCCAAAUUAUUCAUAAAAACCCUAGCUUCCGAGUUCUUGGGAAGGAUGUUGUGGGUAAUAAACUCUAUCUUCUGCGUGGCUAACCUCAUGUUAAUUUAACUCUUUCUUUACUGCCAUACUGCCAUCUCAGUGAAUUGGUUUUCUCGGUGCAGUGGGCAGGAAGAACCUGUUGGGCAAUUACACUCUGACCUCCCCUCUCCCUUCAGCUUCCUACUUAGUUUCCCAUUACCAACCUCAAAGUCACUCUGCUUGGAUAACUUGAUUCUCUCCUGAUGUCUACAUCUUCCCUUGAAUGGGAUCCCAUUCCCCUACUACUCACCAACUCCUAAAAUCAAGAUCAGACUCUCCCACCACCUUCUUUGGGCCACAUUCUAGGAUUCCUUGCCCCUUACCCAAAGGCCAAUAGCUCUUCAUUCUCAACAGCCACAGGAGGCCCUCAACCACCCAGUUCCUUGUGCUGCCAGAAGGUGUUGUUGUUGCUCUAAGGGCAAAAGUUGUAUAGAGCAUUUUGAUAAAAAUCCAAGUGGCUACUUGAGAUUUGCUUUCCUUAACAUCUCAUUGCCUAUAAUGUUCAAUAAUGAUACUGUGCUUUGGUAAUAUGAUGAUGACAUUUUUGAAGAUAGAGCCAUAUUUUCACAGUCCGUCCAUGCUGGGCAGGUCCCUUCUGACAUUUGUAAUACUGAAGUAAAAUGAAUAACAGGAAUGGGCAAGAAGGGGCUGGCCUCUUAUUUUAUAGGCAAGGAACAUCACUAUUGGCCCAGCACUACUUUUGAGUUUUUUGGGGGGAAGGUGGUAAUAAAGAUAUAAAAGAUAUAAAAGAGCUAAGAAAAAUGGGCCUUGUUUUUAAGAAAUGUGCAAUCUGGUUGAUAACUCUUUCUUUUUAUAUAUAAUAAUAACAUUGCUUUCAUAAAACUUGUUCUAUGCACUUUACACAUAUUAAUUCAGUUACAUCUUAUGGGCUGGGUACUGUGAUUGUUCCAUUUUACAGAGGAGAAAACUGAGGCACAAAGGAGUUAAGUAACCUGCUUAAGUUCACACCACUGGCACGUGGCAAAUUCAGGACUGAAACACAGGCAGCUUGACCCAGACCAUGCACUACAUUACAUGAUAUUAUGUUUCUUCACUAAUGACUCUAGACCCUUGAACACCAGUAAGGGAGUUUUAAUAUAUUAAAUAAUAUAUAUUUUUAACUUUUAAAAUUUAUAGAAAUAUUAUGUAUUGAUUUUUGAAAAUAUGAAAAGUGUUGAACAAUAUAAAUAGGAAAAUUGAAAAUCAAGUAUGACUCAGAGAUCACCAGUAUUAAUAUUUUGAUCCAUGCCCUAAGUUGUUCUAUGCACAUUUCUAAUACUCAUAUAGUCCUUUAAAAUUUAAUAUUGUAUUAUAGGUUUUAUAUAAAAUUUUGAAAUGUAAAGUUUUAUGGCUAAUGUUAUUUUCAAUUUACUUUUAUAAUUUCCCAUUUAUUUCUUCAUAUUAUUAAAUAUUUCACAAAACAGUAUUU
RNAcentral lists this long non-coding RNA (7029 nucleotides) under Homo sapiens (human). Its description in RNAcentral is "HSALNT0337808". Lineage: Eukaryota; Metazoa; Chordata; Mammalia; Primates; Hominidae. The record is from RNAcentral.